CCUACGUGGCGCAGCAGUGAGGAAUAUUGGGCAAUGGGCGCGAGCCUGAACCAGCCAAGUAGCGUGAAGGAUGACUGCCCUACGGGUUGUAAACUUCUUUUAUAAAGGACUACAGUGAGGCACGUGUGCCUUUUUGUAUGUACUUUAUGAAUAAGGAUCGGCUAACUCCGUGCCAGCAGCCGCGGUAAUACGGAGGAUCCGAGCGUUAUCCGGAUUUAUUGGGUUUAAAGGGAGCGUAGAUGGGUUGUUAAGUCAGUUGUGAAAGUUUGCGGCUCAACCGUAAAAUUGCAAUUGAUACUGGCAGCCUUGAGUACAGUUGAGGUAGGCGGAAUUCGUGGUGUAGCGGUGAAAUGCUUAGAUAUCACGAAGAACUCCGAUUGCGAAGGCAGCCUACUAAACUGCCACUGACAUUGAUGCUCGAAAGUGUGGGUAUCAAACAGGAUUAGAUACCCCUGUAGUC
This 460-nucleotide ribosomal RNA is filed under the name uncultured bacterium. RNAcentral describes it as "partial 16S ribosomal RNA". It matches the Rfam family "Bacterial small subunit ribosomal RNA", at positions 338 to 795 of the family's 1533-position model. The record is from RNAcentral.